This 1449-nucleotide unclassified non-coding RNA is filed under the name uncultured fungus. Its description in RNAcentral is "sequence contains 18S rRNA gene, ITS1, 5.8S rRNA gene, ITS2, 28S rRNA gene". The stretch from base 420 to 1449 matches the Rfam family "Eukaryotic large subunit ribosomal RNA", at positions 1 to 961 of the family's 3401-position model. Lineage: Eukaryota; Fungi. The record is from RNAcentral.
GGAAGGAUCAUUAUUGAAUUUAUUCUCUAUCUAUGUGAACCAAAAACUGAGACUCGCUUUUGCGUGACUCUUUAAUUUUUUACUUAUAUAUAAAACUUUUGAUAUACUCUAAAAUAGUAUAAAUACAACUUUUAGCAACGGAUCUCUUGGUUCUCGCAACGAUGAAGAACGCAGCGAAAUGCGAUACGUAAUGUGAAUUGCAACGCCCGUGAAUCAUCUAAUCUUUGAACGCAAAUGGCACUGUCUGGUUCUCCGGACAGUAUAUCUGUUUGAGUAUGGGUUUUAACCUCAACAAAAUUUUUGUUGUAGUUGGUUUUUCUAUGUUUAGGCAUAGUGGAACUUAAAUAUAGAUGACUUGGUCAUGAUGAUAUAUCGGUAUAUAUUCUAUAUCAAUACUUUAUGCACCUUAACUAUUACUUCCAUCUCAAAUCAGAUAAGAUUACCCGCUGAACUUAAGCAUAUUAAUAAGCGGAGGAAAAGAAACUAACAAGGAUUCCCCUAGUAACGGCGAGCGAAGAGGGAAUAGCUCAAAUUUAAAAUCUCUUUGGAGAAUUGUAGUUUAAAGAAGUGUUUUCGACAGUCACAUUCGUUUCAAGUCCUUUGGAACAGGGCAUCGUAGAGGGUGAGAGUCCCGUUUUUGAUCGAAUGUCGAUUGCAAUGUGAUACACUUUCAAAGAGUCGGGUUGUUUGGUAUUGCAGCCCCAAUUGGGUGGUAUAUUUCAUCUAAAGCUAAAUACAGGCGAGAGACCGAUAGCGAACAAGUACCGUGAGGGAAAGAUGAAAAGAACUUUGAAAAGAGAGUUAAAAGUACGUGAAAUUGCUAAAAGGGAAACGAUUGACGUUAGCAUGAUUACGUUGAAAUCAACUGUUUUGGGUAACUGAAACGGUGCACUUUCAACGGAACAUGUCAGCAACAGUUUCGUGAAUUGGACAAAGCCGUAUUAAGGUAGCUACUUCGGUAGUGUUAUAGAAUACGGUCAUACAAUUCAUGAGACUGAGGAAUGCAGUGUAGGCCUUGUGCGGGUUUAUUAGGGUUUGAGUUGUCACGUAUGUUGAACAGCAUGCUGAUCAAUGUACGCUGAUGGUUCAAUACUUUGGUUAAAUUCUUCUACGCUCAGGUUGCUGAUAGAAUAACGUUAAACGACCCGUCUUGAAACACGGACCAAGGAGUCUAACAAAUAUGCGAGUAUUUGAGUUGUAAACUCGAAUGCGUAAUGAAAGUGAAACAAUGGGAUAGUAAUUGCACCAUUGACCGAUCUGGAUUUUUAAUGAUAGAUUUGAGUAUGAGCAUAUAUGUUGGGACCCGAAAGAUGGUGAACUAUGCCUGAAUAGGGUGAAGCCAGAGGAAACUCUGGUGGAAGCUCGUAGCGAUUCUGACGUGCAAAUCGAUCGUCAAAUUUGGGUAUAGGGGCGAAAGACUAAUCGAACCAUCUAGUAGCUGGUUCCCUC